Molecule: long non-coding RNA, 1646 nt
Filed under: Nicotiana benthamiana
Lineage: Eukaryota; Viridiplantae; Streptophyta; Magnoliopsida; Solanales; Solanaceae
Description: long non-coding RNA (NBEN_LNC014863)
Source: RNAcentral
UUGUGCAUACAACAUUUUGCUCCAAGAUGAGAGACAAAGACAAGUUUCCUCACCAUCCCAAUUUCGUCAUGAUUCCAGUGCUUUCAAUACUCACUUCAGCAGCAAAUCCCCUAUCACAAAAUUUCCUCCCACAGCUGCAUAUCCUAAGCAAUUCAGUCAAAGACUCAACUUUGAUCUCAACAAGACAAACUUAGUGUGUAGGUAUUGUAAGAAACCUGGACACCUGAUUGACAAGUGUUACAAACUUCAUGGAUUUCCAUCAGACUUCAAAUUCACAAAAGGAUUUCCAUCAGACUUCAAAUUCACAAAAGGAAGGAGGAGUGCAGCACAUGUUGAAGUGCAGGGGUGUCUAAACCUUGCUGGACUAUAAACUUCAUGAAUUUCCAUCAAACUUCAAAUUCACAAAAGGAAGGAGGAGUGCAACACAUGUUGAAGUGCAGGGGUGUCUAAACCCUGCUGGAACUCAGAACAGUGCUGAAAAUGCUCAGGAGGCCUCUGAAUCAUAGUCUCUAAUACCUGGUUUAACCAAGGAUCAAUACUCACAGCUUAUGUUGCUGCUCCAACAGACACAAAUUUCAGAGUCUCAGCAGCACUCCAGCCUUAUGGCAUCUGCCAACGUUGCUGGUAAUUUUUCUCCAUCCAGUCAUUUAAAGAAUGUGUCUUAUGGGGCUUGCAUGUUAACUAAAAUAAGUGAAUGCAUUUGGAUUAUAGACUCUGGUGCCACUGAUCACAUGACCUCUAAUAAAGACCUUAUGUUUGAUAUUAAGCCUUUAGUAAUACCAUAUCUAGUUACCUUGCCCAAUGGUUAUAAGGUUAAGGUAACAUGCACUGGAUCCAUACAAUUCCUUUGUUUCACUCUACAUCAUGCCCUUUAUAUUCCCAGCUUUCACUACAAUCUCAUCUCUGUGUCCAAACUUGUGUGCCAGUUAAAUGUUAUUGUCCUAUUUACUAAAUUCUCUUGCUAAUACAUGCCCCUUCUCUGAAGAGGCCACUGGAAAUUGGUAAAUUGGAUGAUGGUCUCUACAGGCUAGUGCAAUCUUCUUCUCUUCAAUCUCUUGAUCCUUGUAAAUACCAUUCUCCAUUAACUGUUCAUUUUGUUUCUUCCUAUCAUUGUACAUACCAUUCUGAAUUGAAUAAAAUGGAGAUGUUAUGGCAUAAUAGACUAGGGCACAUACCUUUUGUUAGAAUGAAAGACAUGUCCUAUAUACCAUGUAAAUUUUCAACAAAGCAGCCUUUCCUUUGUACUAUAUGCCCUUUGGCCAGGCAACCUAGAUUACCCUUUCUUGAAAGUUCCAUUAAAACAACACAUGUUUUUCAACUCAUCCAUGUUGAUACAUGGGGUCCCUAUGCCACUCCUACUCAUAAUGGUUGUAGAUAUUUUCUAACAAUAGUUGAUGAUUUUACCAGAGCUACUUGGACCCACCUUAUGGGCUCCAAGAGCAAUGCCUUUCCCCUUAUCAAAGCCUUCACUGCCAUGAUUAAAACUCAAUUCUAGCCUGUGGUGCAAACCAUUAGGAGUGAUAAUGCCUUUGAACUUGGCUCUAGUAGCUGUGGCAGCAACUUCUUUGCUGAAAAUGGCAUAAUGCAUCAAACUUCUUGCUCUCACACACCACAACAAAAUGGUGUAGUUAAGAGAAAGCAUAGAU